UGUCGUUGGGUUUCAAAUAAUCAUGCUAGACCAAUCGCAAUCGGAUAAUUGUGUUUUGAGUUGGUGAUCUGCUACAAGUAAAUCAAUCGUACCUAGGUUUAGAAGAUAAACGUGUUAGAUCAAUCAGCCUCGACUCUAUUUCAAAAGUGCAAAUUACUUAGCAGCAACAGAGAAGCAAACAAUCAUUUAUCUGCU
Rosa chinensis is the source of this 195-nucleotide long non-coding RNA. RefSeq lists it as uncharacterized. The record is from RefSeq and is a predicted model, not a curated record. The transcript is spliced from 3 exons. NCBI's taxonomy places the organism in Eukaryota, Viridiplantae, Streptophyta, Magnoliopsida, Rosales, Rosaceae.